Eurytemora carolleeae is the source of this 630-nucleotide long non-coding RNA. RefSeq lists it as uncharacterized. The record is from RefSeq and is a predicted model, not a curated record. The transcript is spliced from 3 exons. Lineage: Eukaryota; Metazoa; Arthropoda; Copepoda; Calanoida; Temoridae.
UUUCAAAGAGACAGUAUAUACUGAUAUUUAUAUGAUUAUAGUGAGUAGAUUCCAAGGACCACAGUGAUUGAAUCCUUAAAUAUAUGUAGAAGCUUUAUCAUGAGUUUUUAUGGAGAUGUUAUCUGUUAGAAGAGAGGGUUCCAUUUCAAAGAUCCAUAGGAAUACUAGCCGUUGAGAAUGGAACAAGAACAGAACGAUUGAAAAAAAGGAACAAGAACGGAACAAUCUAGCUGAAGGCCCUUGUUCUAGAACGGAGCAGAACAAUUUCAAAAAAGUUAGAACAUGCCCAGCCCUACUACUGCUUACUGCCUGAAAUAGGUCUGUUUUAUCUUUGCUUGAUACCAAUAAAAAAGGUCAAUAUUCUGAUGAUCUUUUUUGAAAGCUGAAAUCAAGGAAAAUAUUAAUUUUGAACAACAUGCUUCGUUUUUAGUUUAGUUUGCACUUGUUUGUGAUGAUUUUUUACACAGAUUUAGCAAAGAAGAGUCAACACUUAUCACAUAUUUUUUCAUUGACAUACAUUCUAUAAUAUCAUAAUUGAAAAUGAGCAAAUUGCUUGUACAACAUUUUCAAACUUUUUUUUUAACCCUGCAAUCUUGCUGAGAUAAUUGGCAGAAGCUGAACUUUUAUUAA